RNAcentral lists this small RNA (27 nucleotides) under Bombyx mori (domestic silkworm). Its description in RNAcentral is "ovarian small RNA-34265". Lineage: Eukaryota; Metazoa; Arthropoda; Insecta; Lepidoptera; Bombycidae. The record is from RNAcentral.
UGCUUAGAUGGGUGAACGAGCUCACAG